UGGGUUGCAGUGAUUAUAAAAAAAAGAAAUACUUAAUUGUUUCUGAAUGCUGUAUCCAUGGCAUGAUAGACUCUUGUUACACCCAUAGAAUAUGAGCAACC
Small nucleolar RNA from Cynara cardunculus var. scolymus (artichoke), 101 nucleotides. RefSeq annotates it as small nucleolar RNA snoR8a. The record is from RefSeq and is a predicted model, not a curated record. The transcript has a single exon. Lineage: Eukaryota; Viridiplantae; Streptophyta; Magnoliopsida; Asterales; Asteraceae.